GGUUAAGCGACUAAGCGUACACGGUGGAUGCCCGGCAGUCAGAGGCGAUGAAGGACGUGCUAAUCUGCGAAAAGCGUCGGUAAGGUGAUAUGAACCGUUACAGCCGGCGAUGUCCGAAUGGGGAAACCCAGUGCAAUUCGUUGCACUAUCGUUAACUGAAUACAUAGGUUAACGAGGCGAACCGGGGAACUGAAACAUCUAAGUACCCCGAGGAAAAGAAAUCAACCGAGAUUCCCCAGUAGCGGCGAGCGAACGGGGAGCAGCCCAGAGUCUGAAUCAGCUUGUGUGUUAGUGGAACGGUCUGGAAAGUCCGACGGUACAGGGUGAUAGUCCCGUACACCAAAAUGCACAGGUUGUGAACUCGAAGAGUAGGGCGGGACACGUGGUAUCCUGUCUGAAUAUGGGGGACCAUCCUCCAAGGCUAAAUACUCCUGACUGACCGAUAGUGAACCAGUACCGUGAGGGAAAGGCGAAAAGAACCCCGGCGAGGGGAGUGAAAAAGAACCUGAAACCGUGUACGUACAAGCAGUGGGAGCACCUUCGGGUGUGACUGCGUACCUUUGUAUAAUGGGUCAGCGACUUAUAUUCUGUAGCAAGGUUAACCGUAUAGGGGAGCCGCAGGGAAACCGAGUCUUAACUGGGCGUUAAGUUGCAGGGUAUAGACCCGAAACCCGGUGAUCUAGCCAUGGGCAGGUUGAAGGUUGGGUAACACUAACUGGAGGACCGAACCGACUAAUGUUGAAAAAUUAGCGGAUGACUUGUGGCUGGGGGUGAAAGGCCAAUCAAACCGGGAGAUAGCUGGUUCUCCCCGAAAGCUAUUUAGGUAGCGCCUCGUGAACUCAUCUUCGGGGUAGAGCACUGUUUCGGCUAGGGGUCAUCCCGACUUACCAACCCGAUGCAAACUACGAAUACCGAAGAAUGUUAUCACGGGAGACACACGGCGGGUGCUAACGUCCGUCGUGAAGAGGGAAACAACCCAGACCGCCAGCUAAGGUCCCAAAGUCAUGGUUAAGUGGGAAACGAUGUGGGAAGGCACAGACAGCCGGGAUGUUGGCUUAGAAGCAGCCAUCAUUUAAAGAAAGCGUAAUAGCUCACUGGUCGAGUCGGCCUGCGCGGAAGAUGUAACGGGGCUAAACCAUGCACCGAAGCUGCGGCAGCGACACUAUGUGUUGUUGGGUAGGGGGAGCGUUCUGUAAGCCUGCGAAGGUGUGCUGUGAGGCAUGCUGGAGGUAUCAGAAGUGCGAAUGCUGACAUAAGUAACGAUAAAGCGGGUGAAAAGCCCGCUCGCCGGAAGACCAAGGGUUCCUGUCCAACGUUAAUCGGGGCAGGGUGAGUCGACCCCUAAGGCGAGGCCGAAAGGCGUAGUCGAUGGGAAACAGGUUAAUAUUCCUGUACUUGGUGUUACUGCGAAGGGGGACGGAGAAGGCUAUGUUAGCCGGGCGACGGUUGUCCCGGUUUAAGCAUGUAGGCUGAUUGUCCGAGGCAAAUCCGGAUAAUCAAGGCUGAGGUGUGAUGACGAGGCACUACGGUGCUGAAGUAACAAAUGCCCUGCUUCCAGGAAAAGCCUCUAAGCAUCAGGUAACAUUAAAUCGUACCCCAAACCGACACAGGUGGUCAGGUAGAGAAUACCAAGGCGCUUGAGAGAACUCGGGUGAAGGAACUAGGCAAAAUGGUGCCGUAACUUCGGGAGAAGGCACGCUGGUGUGUAGGUGAAGUCCCUGCGGAUGGAGCUGAGACCAGUCGAAGAUACCAGCUGGCUGCAACUGUUUAUUAAAAACACAGCACUGUGCAAACACGAAAGUGGACGUAUACGGUGUGACGCCUGCCCGGUGCCGGAAGGUUAAUUGAUGGGGUUAUCCGUAAGGAGAAGCUCUUGAUCGAAGCCCCGGUAAACGGCGGCCGUAACUAUAACGGUCCUAAGGUAGCGAAAUUCCUUGUCGGGUAAGUUCCGACCUGCACGAAUGGCGUAAUGAUGGCCGGGCUGUCUCCACCCGAGACUCAGUGAAAUUGAACUCGCUGUGAAGAUGCAGUGUACCCGCGGCAAGACGGAAAGACCCCGUGAACCUUUACUAUAGCUUGACACUGAACAUUGAGCCUUGAUGUGUAGGAUAGGUGGGAGGCUUUGAAGCGUGGACGCCAGUCUGCGUGGAGCCAACCUUGAAAUACCACCCUUUAAUGUUUGAUGUUCUAACGUUGGCCCCUGACCGGGGUUGCGGACAGUGUCUGGUGGGUAGUUUGACUGGGGCGGUCUCCUCCCAAAGCGUAACGGAGGAGCACGAAGGUUAGCUAAUCCUCGGUCGGACAUCAGGAGGUUAGUGCAAUGGCAUAAGCUAGCUUGACUGCGAGCGUGACGGCGCGAGCAGGUGCGAAAGCAGGUCAUAGUGAUCCGGUGGUUCUGAAUGGAAGGGCCAUCGCUCAACGGAUAAAAGGUACUCCGGGGAUAACAGGCUGAUACCGCCCAAGAGUUCAUAUCGACGGCGGUGUUUGGCACCUCGAUGUCGGCUCAUCACAUCCUGGGGCUGAAGUAGGUCCCAAGGGUAUGGCUGUUCGCCAUUUAAAGUGGUACGCGAGCUGGGUUUAGAACGUCGUGAGACAGUUCGGUCCCUAUCUGCCGUGGGCGCUGGAGAAUUGAGGGGGCUGCUCCUAGUACGAGAGGACCGGAGUGGACGCAUCACUGGUGUUCGGGUUGUCAUGCCAAUGGCACUGCCCGGUAGCUAAAUGCGGAAGAGAUAAGUGCUGAAAGCAUCUAAGCACGAAACUUGCCCCGAGAUGAGUUCUCCCUGAGACUUUAAGUCUCCUGAAGGAACGUUAAAGACGAUGACGUUGAUAGGCCGGGUGUGUAAGCGCAGCGAUGCGUUGAGCUAACCGGUACUAAUGAACCGUGAGGCUUAACCUU
This 2896-nucleotide ribosomal RNA is filed under the name Klebsiella pneumoniae. RNAcentral's name for it is "23S ribosomal RNA". It matches the Rfam family "Bacterial large subunit ribosomal RNA". The record is from RNAcentral. Lineage: Bacteria; Pseudomonadati; Pseudomonadota; Gammaproteobacteria; Enterobacterales; Enterobacteriaceae.